GAUGAACGCUGGCGGCGUGCUUAACACAUGCAAGUCGAACGGAAAGGCCCAAGCUUGCUUGGGUACUCGAGUGGCUAACGGGUGAGUAACACGUGGGUGAUCUGCCCUGCACUUCGGGAUAAGCCUGGGAAACUGGGUCUAAUACCGGAUAGGACCACAUUUUGGAUGGUGUGGUGGAAAGUUUUUCGGUGUGGGAUGAGCUCGCGGCCUAUCAGCUUGUUGGUGGGGUAAUGGCCUACCAAGGCGUCGACGGGUAGCCGGCCUGAGAGGGUGUACGGCCACAUUGGGAAUGAGAGACGGCCCAGACUCCGAAGGGAGGAAGCAGUGGGGAAUAUUGAAAAAUGGGCGCAAGCCUGAUGCAGCGAAGAGGCGGGGGGGAGGACGGCCUUCGGGUUGUAAAAGCAUUUCGCUAGGGACGAAGCGUUAUGUGACGGUACCUGGAGAAGAAGAACCGGCUAACUACGUG
This 466-nucleotide ribosomal RNA is filed under the name uncultured bacterium. RNAcentral describes it as "partial 16S ribosomal RNA". It matches the Rfam family "Bacterial small subunit ribosomal RNA", at positions 28 to 507 of the family's 1533-position model. The record is from RNAcentral.